UUUAAAGUGGCAGAUAUAAAAUGUGUUGAAUUUAAGCUUCAAAGAAGAUGGUUUCAUCCUUUAAAA
RNAcentral lists this transfer RNA (66 nucleotides) under Vorticeros sp. n. MW-2019. RNAcentral describes it as "tRNA-Leu". Lineage: Eukaryota; Metazoa; Platyhelminthes; Prolecithophora; Plagiostomidae. The record is from RNAcentral.